GAUCAAGGGAAUUAGAGAGAGGAGCUUCAUGCUUCGGGUCAGGGAAGGAAAGACAUAGAAUUUGGAUUUUUCUUCUUCGUAGAGUUUUGGGAAGACUGAGGCAAUCGCUGCUGAAUUCAGUGUUGUAAUGGUGAAUCGGGAUUUUUAAAUGAAGUGGGUUUGAAUACUCUUGACUGUUUUAUAAAAUCGAGUUACGUCUGUGAUUGAAGGAUUAAAAGGGUGUCUAUAGGAUUGAGUAUGCGGAGUGAAUGAAAUUUAUUGGGUUAAUCUAACAGGACAGUCAGUGGAUACAAGAUCGUAAGUACAAA
RNAcentral lists this long non-coding RNA (308 nucleotides) under Physcomitrium patens. RNAcentral's name for it is "long non-coding RNA (PPAT_LNC010674)". The record is from RNAcentral. Lineage: Eukaryota; Viridiplantae; Streptophyta; Bryopsida; Funariales; Funariaceae.